Molecule: ribosomal RNA, 1955 nt
Filed under: human gut metagenome
Description: bacterial LSU rRNA
Rfam family: Bacterial large subunit ribosomal RNA
Source: RNAcentral
UUAUGCUAAUAAGAGCGUAUGGUGGAUGCCUUGGCACUAAGAGCCGAUGAAAGACGUGAUAAGCUGCGAAAAGCUUCGGGGAGGAGCAAAUAUCCUGAGAUCCGGAGAUAUCUGAAUGGGGAAACCUACUUGAGAAGACCUCAAGUAUCCACAGCCCAAUCCAUAAGCUGUGGAAGGGAACCCGGUGAACUGAAACAUCUAAGUAGCCGGAGGAAGAGAAAACAACAUGUGAUUCCGUAAGUAGCGGCGAGCGAACGCGGAAGAGCCCAAACCGGAGUGCGUGCACUCCGGGGUUCGGACUGCAGGAUUGACGAGUGAGCCUAGUAGAAUGGUUUUGGGAAAGCCAGCCAGAGAGGGUGAAAGCCCCGUACACGAAAGGCAAGCGAGCAUGGCAGGAUCCAGAGUACCACGAGACACGUGAAACCUUGUGGGAAUGAGCGGGGACCACCCCGUAAGGCUAAAUACUCCUUAGUGACCGAUAGCGCAUAGUACUGUGAAGGAAAGGUGAAAAGGACCCCGGGAGGGGAGUGAAAGAGAACCUGAAACCAUAUGUUUACAAGCUGUGGAACAUCUUUAUAUGAUGAACCGCGUACUUUUUGUAGAACGGUCCGGCGAGUUACGCUGGCUGGCGAGGUUAAGGGCUGAAGGCCUGGAGCCGAAGGGAAACCGAGUCUGAACAGGGCGAAAUAGUCAGUCGGAGUAGACCCGAAACCGGGUGAUCUAUCCAUGUCCAGGUUGAAGUUGCCGUAAAAGGCAAUGGAGGACCGAACCCACAUCCGUUGAAAAGGGUGGGGAUGAGGUGUGGAUAGGGGAGAAAUUCCAAUCGAACCCGGAGAUAGCUGGUUCUCCUCGAAAUAGCUUUAGGGCUAGCCUCAUGCAAGUCUUACGGAGGUAGAGCACUGAAUUCCUAAGGGGGCGUCAAAGCUUACCAAGGGAUAUCAAACUCCGAAUGCCGUGUAGAUGGUGCAUGGGAGUCAGACUAUCCGAGAUAAGUUGGGUAGUCAAAAGGGAAAGAGCCCAGACCUACAGCUAAGGUCCCAAAAUGUGUGUUAAGUGGAAAAGGAUGUGGGAUUUCGAAGACAACUAGGAUGUUGGCUUAGAAGCAGCCAUCCAUUAAAAGAGUGCGUAAUAGCUCACUAGUCGAGAGGUCCUGCGCCGAAAAUGUCCGGGGCUGAAACACACUACCGAAGCUUGGGAAUUGACGAAUGUUAAUUGGUAGAGGAGCAUUCUUAACGGGGCGAAGCUGUACCGGAAGGAGCAGUGGACUGUUAAGAAGAGAGAAUGCCGGAAUGAGUAGCGAGAGGAAGGUGAGAAUCCUUCCGGCCGAAUAUCUAAGGUUUCCAGAGUAAAGCUGAUCUGCUCUGGGUAAGUCGGGGCCUAAGGCGAGGUCGAAAGACGUAGUCGAUGGAUAACAGGUAAAGAUUCCUGUACUGUAUCAUAACAGAACUGUGGGGACGCAGACAGAGAGCAUAAGCCGGGAAUGGAAAAACCGGUACAAGCGAGGUAGGAGUGCAUCAGGCAAAUCCGGUGCACAAUCUGAAGACGUGAUGUGGGGCGUAAAGCCGGAAGUAUGUGAGCUGGCUGCCAAGAAAAGCCGCUAUUGUUUAUGAUAUACCCGUACCGUAAACCGACACAGGUGGAUGAGGAGAGAAUCCUAAGGCCGACGGGAGAAGCAUUGUUAAGGAACUCGGCAAAAUGACUCCGUAACUUCGGGAGAAGGAGUGCCAUGUAAAAGUGGCCGCAGAGAAUUGGCCCAAGCAACUGUUUAGCAAAAACACAGGUCUAUGCAAAACCGAAAGGUGAGGUAUAUGGGCUGACGCCUGCCCGGUGCUGGAAGGUUAAGGGGAGAGGUUAGUCGUAAGGCGAAGCUUUGAACUUAAGCCCCAGUAAACGGCGGCCGUAACUAUAACGGUCCUAAGGUAGCGAAAUUCCUUGUCGGGUAAGUUCCGACCCGC